Molecule: ribosomal RNA, 305 nt
Filed under: uncultured bacterium
Lineage: Bacteria
Description: bacterial SSU rRNA
Rfam family: Bacterial small subunit ribosomal RNA
Source: RNAcentral
UCCCUACGGGGCGCAGCAGUGAGGAAUAUUGGUCAAUGGCCGAGAGGCUGAACCAGCCAAGUCGCGUGAGGGAAGACGGCCCUACGGGUUGUAAACCUCUUUUGUCGGGGAGCAAAGCGAGUCACGUGUGACUCAUUGAGAGUACCCGAAGAAAAAGCAUCGGCUAACUCCGUGCCAGCAGCCGCGGUAAUACGGAGGAUGCGAGCGUUAUCCGGAUUUAUUGGGUUUAAAGGGUGCGCAGGCGGAGGUGCAAGUCAGCGGUCAAAUUGCGGGGCUCAACCCCGGCCCGCCGUUGAAACUGGCAG